This 467-nucleotide ribosomal RNA is filed under the name uncultured bacterium. RNAcentral describes it as "partial 16S ribosomal RNA". It matches the Rfam family "Bacterial small subunit ribosomal RNA", at positions 28 to 507 of the family's 1533-position model. The record is from RNAcentral.
GACGAACGCUGGCGGCGUGCUUAACACAUGCAAGUCGAACGGAAAGGCCUCUUUCGGGGGGUACUCGAGUGGCGAACGGGUGAGUAACACGUGAGUAACCUGCCCUUGACUUUGGGAUAACUUCAGGAAACUGGGGCUAAUACCGGAUAGGAGCUCCUGCUGCAUGGUGGGGGUUGGAAAGUUUCGGCGGUUGGGGAUGGACUCGCGGCUUAUCAGCUUGUUGGUGGGGUAGUGGCUUACCAAGGCUUUGACGGGUAGCCGGCCUGAGAGGGUGACCGGCCACAUUGGGACUGAGAUAAGGCCCAGACUCCUACGGGAGGCAGCAGUGGGGAAUAUUGCACAAGGGGUGGAAGCCUGAUGCAGCAACGCCGUGUGCGGGAUGACGGCCUUCGGGUUGUAAACCGCUUUCGCUCAUGACGAAGCUUUGUGUGACGGUAGUGGGUAAAGAAGCACCGGCUAACUACGUG